This 327-nucleotide unclassified non-coding RNA is filed under the name soil metagenome. RNAcentral's name for it is "partial contains 5.8S ribosomal RNA, internal transcribed spacer 2, and large subunit ribosomal RNA". The stretch from base 1 to 120 matches the Rfam family "5.8S ribosomal RNA", at positions 35 to 154 of the family's 154-position model. The record is from RNAcentral.
GAUGAAGAACGUAGCGAAAUGCGAUAAGUAAUGUGAAUUGCAGAAUUCAGUGAAUCAUCGAAUCUUUGAAUGCACAUUGCGCCCCUUGGUAUUCCGAGGGGCAUGCCUGUUCGAGCGUCAUUAUAACCCCUCAAGCUCGGCUUGGUGUUGGGGCCUGCCGCACGGGCAGCCCUUAAAAUCAGUGGCGGUGCCAUCUGGCUCUAAGCGUAGUAAUUCUUCUCGCUAUAGAGUCCCGGUGGAUGCUUGCCAUUAACCCCCAAUUUCAAUGGUUGACCUCGGAUCAGGUAGGGAUACCCGCUGAACUUAAGCAUAUCAAUAAGCGGAGGA